RNAcentral lists this unclassified non-coding RNA (218 nucleotides) under rhizosphere metagenome. RNAcentral describes it as "partial ribosomal RNA internal transcribed spacer region". The record is from RNAcentral.
GUAGGUGAACCUGCGGAGGGAUCAUUACACAAUAAAAUACGAAGGCCGUUCGCGGCUGGACUAUUUAUUACCCUUGUCUUUUGCGCACUUGUUGUUUCCUGGGCGGGUUCGCUCGCCACCAGGACCACAAUAUAAACCUUUUUUAUGCAGUUGCAAUCAGCGUCAGUAUAACAAAUGUAAAUCAUUUACAACUUUCAACAACGGAUCUCUUGGUUCUG